Diabrotica virgifera virgifera (western corn rootworm) is the source of this 1306-nucleotide long non-coding RNA. RefSeq lists it as uncharacterized. NCBI's taxonomy places the organism in Eukaryota, Metazoa, Arthropoda, Insecta, Coleoptera, Chrysomelidae. The record is from RefSeq and is a predicted model, not a curated record. The transcript is spliced from 2 exons.
UAGACGUAUCAGAGGUAUGACAACUGUCACUGUGAGAGUAGAAUUUUAUAAAAUACUCCUGUCACAGACGUCUACAGGUGGAAAACUAUGUAAUGUAAUGUUAAUUAAUACGUUUAUAACGAUAAUUUCCACCUCCACUAGUUUCAUCUCUUUUUGUUUCGCAAUGUAUUAUGUUUUCCAUCUUUUGAGCUUUUUUGCCGGUUAUUAGCGUGCUCAUCACUGUAUACCAAAAACCUACUAAAAAAUAUUGCUUACUAGAAUUAAAAAAAAAUAUAUCAAAAAUCUAUCCAAAAAGUAGAAAUCUGCUGAAUGUGGCAACGCUGUUACAAAAUAAACACCACUGUCCAACUCAAAAUUCAAUUGUCAAAUAUUCUUCUUCUUUUCAAUUAGCCUUGUACCACAUAUAUUAGCGAUCUACAUUAUGUGUCGCCAUCUCUAAUUCCGGAAGCUCACUAUCCGCUGGGAGGGUUGACAUGGUGGGGAUACGCAUGUCGAUCGUCCUUCUCAUGGUGGCGAAAAUUGGAAGCUCCGUCCCACAAAUUAGCGUUGCCAGAGUUCGUACAAUUGUACCAAUUUGAAACAAAUAACAACCAAACUUGUGAUACUAAAGUAUCUAAAGUAAAAAUCUAAAAUUUUGUGAUAUAAGAAAUUUGCUUCAAAUAACAUUAAAUGACGUUUUUUUAAGUUUUUGUACAAAAUGUGUUGGUUUAGUACAUUUUGUGUCAAUAUUCCAGUGCAUGAGUGAAUUUAUAAAAAUUUCUCUGGCAACACCGUCACCUGCCGUGUACUGCUGGCUUCUGGCUUAUCAAAAUAUUCCGUUAAUUUUUUUAAAAUGCCACAUCACGGUUCUUGUGUCGUUUUUGACUGUCAUUUUACAUGGAGAAACAGUGGAAUGAAAUUCUUUCGCUUUCCUACAUCCAAAUAUAGGCAGGAUCAAAGAAAAAAAUGGAUUAAUGCUAUUCGAAGACAAAAAAUAUAAAGGCCAUAAAAUUUGGAAAAGAACAAAGAAGAGUCCAAAUCAUUGGUUAAUGAUAUGUUUUAUAGGGACUAUAUCAUAUAUUUUAAUGAAAGAAAAAAAAUGAGUACUGAACACAAAGCACAAUUAUUACAACCAAAUUCAAGGCAACUUAUAAUUAAUAAAAAGGAAGGUGUGCCACCUAGUGAUCUGGAUGCCUUCAGAAUCGAUCAUAUAUGAUGUCGGUAUUGAAGAAUGCUGCGAACACAAUAUAAAAUGAUUAAAAACAUUUUAUUUGAAUAAAUAAGUAUAUACCAUUUUUAUGUGGAAAUAAAGCACUUUACAAUUACA